RNAcentral lists this long non-coding RNA (454 nucleotides) under Bos indicus x Bos taurus (hybrid cattle). RNAcentral's name for it is "lncRNA (ENSBIXG00000004240.1)". The record is from RNAcentral. Lineage: Eukaryota; Metazoa; Chordata; Mammalia; Artiodactyla; Bovidae.
UUAAUUUUUAAGGCCUGGAGUUUAGGGCUUAAGAAAUAAUAUUGUAGGGAGGGAAGGAAGAACUCAUCUUACUUUAGAGCCUAUUUUUAUAGGGAAUAGGUAAGGAGAAAAAAACAUUUUGGAUAUUUUGAUUUUGAGUUCACUCUCUAUUUUAAAUAACUUUUCGAAAAAACAUCAACCUUUCUGUUGGCUUAAAUAUUUUUAGUGUAAAAUUUAAAAAUAUAACUUAGUCUACAUGUUUCUCUUAGUGAUUUUGGCAGAACUAGUAUUCCAAACUGGAAGAGGUUCUCUGUAUUUAAUUUCCUCUCCGGAAGUUUACCUUCAGAAGUCCAAGUGUGAGGUCAAUCCUUGGGUUGACCGGAAAUGUAAUGUCCUUUACUGUCUGAGCACCCAGACAGCACUUAAUGAAACAUCCUACUUUGCGGACAUUGCUGCUGCUGCUUCUGAAUUAUGA